GCCUCUUGCCAUCGGAUGUGCCCAGAUGGGAUUAGCUAGUAGGUGGGGUAACGGCUCACCUAGGCGACGAUCCCUAGCUGGUCUGAGAGGAUGACCAGCCACACUGGAACUGAGACACGGUCCAGACUCCUACGGGAGGCAGCAGUGGGGAAUAUUGCACAAUGGGCGCAAGCCUGAUGCAGCCAUGCCGCGUGUAUGAAGAAGGCCUUCGGGUUGUAAAGUACUUUCAGCGGGGAGGAAGGGAGUAAAGUUAAUACCUUUGCUCAUUGACGUUACCCGCAGAAGAAGCACCGGCUAACUCCGUGCCAGCAGCCGCGGUAAUACGGAGGGUGCAAGCGUUAAUCGGAAUUACUGGGCGUAAAGCGCACGCAGGCGGUUUGUUAAGUCAGAUGUGAAAUCCCCGGGCUCAACCUGGGAACUGCAUCUGAUACUGGCAAGCUUGAGUCUCGUAGAGGGGGGUAGAAUUCC
This 468-nucleotide ribosomal RNA is filed under the name Escherichia coli. RNAcentral's name for it is "bacterial SSU rRNA". It matches the Rfam family "Bacterial small subunit ribosomal RNA", at positions 210 to 670 of the family's 1533-position model. The record is from RNAcentral. Lineage: Bacteria; Pseudomonadati; Pseudomonadota; Gammaproteobacteria; Enterobacterales; Enterobacteriaceae.